This 1173-nucleotide ribosomal RNA is filed under the name Salmonella enterica. RNAcentral's name for it is "partial 23S ribosomal RNA". It matches the Rfam family "Bacterial large subunit ribosomal RNA", at positions 1762 to 2925 of the family's 2925-position model. The record is from RNAcentral. Lineage: Bacteria; Pseudomonadati; Pseudomonadota; Gammaproteobacteria; Enterobacterales; Enterobacteriaceae.
CGGAGCUGAAGUCAGUCGAAGAUACCAGCUGGCUGCAACUGUUUAUUAAAAACACAGCACUGUGCAAACACGAAAGUGGACGUAUACGGUGUGACGCCUGCCCGGUGCCGGAAGGUUAAUUGAUGGGGUCAGCGCAAGCGAAGCUCCUGAUCGAAGCCCCGGUAAACGGCGGCCGUAACUAUAACGGUCCUAAGGUAGCGAAAUUCCUUGUCGGGUAAGUUCCGACCUGCACGAAUGGCGUAAUGAUGGCCAGGCUGUCUCCACCCGAGACUCAGUGAAAUUGAACUCGCUGUGAAGAUGCAGUGUACCCGCGGCAAGACGGAAAGACCCCGUGAACCUUUACUAUAGCUUGACACUGAACAUUGAGCCUUGAUGUGUAGGAUAGGUGGGAGGCUUUGAAGCGUGGACGCCAGUCUGCGUGGAGCCGACCUUGAAAUACCACCCUUUAAUGUUUGAUGUUCUAACGUGGACCCGUGAUCCGGGUUGCGGACAGUGUCUGGUGGGUAGUUUGACUGGGGCGGUCUCCUCCUAAAGAGUAACGGAGGAGCACGAAGGUUGGCUAAUCCUGGUCGGACAUCAGGAGGUUAGUGCAAUGGCAUAAGCCAGCUUGACUGCGAGCGUGACGGCGCGAGCAGGUGCGAAAGCAGGUCAUAGUGAUCCGGUGGUUCUGAAUGGAAGGGCCAUCGCUCAACGGAUAAAAGGUACUCCGGGGAUAACAGGCUGAUACCGCCCAAGAGUUCAUAUCGACGGCGGUGUUUGGCACCUCGAUGUCGGCUCAUCACAUCCUGGGGCUGAAGUAGGUCCCAAGGGUAUGGCUGUUCGCCAUUUAAAGUGGUACGCGAGCUGGGUUUAGAACGUCGUGAGACAGUUCGGUCCCUAUCUGCCGUGGGCGCUGGAGAACUGAGGGGGGCUGCUCCUAGUACGAGAGGACCGGAGUGGACGCAUCACUGGUGUUCGGGUUGUCAUGCCAAUGGCACUGCCCGGUAGCUAAAUGCGGAAGAGAUAAGUGCUGAAAGCAUCUAAGCACGAAACUUGCCCCGAGAUGAGUUCUCCCUGAGACUUUAGGUCUCCUGAAGGAACGUUGAAGACGACGACGUUGAUAGGCCGGGUGUGUAAGCGCAGCGAUGCGUUGAGCUAACCGGUACUAAUGAACCGUGAGGCUUAACCUUACAA